UACAGAGGUCUCAAGCGUUGUUCGGAUUCAUUGGGCGUAAAGGGUGCGUAGGCGGCGCGGUAAGUCGGGUGUGAAAUCUCGGGGCUUAACUCCGAAACUGCAUUCGAUACUGCCGUGCUUGAGGACUGGAGAGGAGGGUGGAAUUCCCAGUGUAGAGGUGAAAUUCGUAGAUAUUGGGAGGAACACCGGCGGCGAAAGCGACUC
This 204-nucleotide ribosomal RNA is filed under the name uncultured prokaryote. RNAcentral describes it as "partial 16S ribosomal RNA". It matches the Rfam family "Bacterial small subunit ribosomal RNA", at positions 524 to 727 of the family's 1533-position model. The record is from RNAcentral.